CGGUACAAGGGAAAGAAGGGAUUGUUUAGCGAGAGCAUCGGCUUCUCGAUUACAAGAUCUAGCAACAAAAGAAAAUAUGUGCAUAAACGAUGAGAAUAGAUGGAGGAUAUCAAAGAUUAUCCCAUGGAGUUUCUUAGGCGGAUUCUUCGAGUGUAUGACUUCAAUUAAUUGUUUGCAAUCUGAAGGAACAGAUAGAUUUUGGAAACCUAGAUUGUGGGCAUCUUGCACGGCGUGGAGCAUGGCUAUUGCUUCAGCGAUUAGCGGUGAUCUGAUCCAGAGGGAGGUGGAUGAUCCUUUACAGUGUUGGCGGAUUGCUUCGUUGCGGAAGAUCCAUCCACAUCCUACGGUCUUUGUAUCUUUUUGCCAGGCUGCAUCUACGUUACAGAUGACCACAUCAGAUCUAUCAAAGGUAGAGGUAGUGUGAGUUAACCUCGGUUGUGGGGGUGUCUCAGUCUCUUGGGCUUCACACCAUUCUCUUCCCAGUGCUAUAGCUCGAGUGAGGGUUUAUUUUGGUGAUGUCGGUUUGUUAUUGAAGAUUUGGUGGUUGCGGGCGUUCCAAAUUGACCAAAAGAUCUAUGGGUAGAGGGGGUCGUAGCCUACUCCACUCGGUGGUAGACAAAUGAGUGGCUUAGACUUCUCAAUGAGAUCGCGGAUUGAGUGGAUACUGCCUUGAGGUAAAGGAUUUUUGAAGGGGGCUGCUGUCCAGACCUGUACAGCAAAAGGGCAUGUGUAGAAUAGGUUAAGCGAGGUUUCCUCCUCGCCACAGAAGGGGCAUUUUCCCUCGAUGUUGAUUGAUCGUGCUCUCAGAUUUUCGCCUGAAGGUGGUGGAGGUGGGGUGUCGGAUUUAUUGGUUUUUAUGCUUUCAUAGUAGCCCGACUUGGCUGAAUAUUUCCCAGUCUUUGUUGGGAUCCAUACAAAGUCUGCAGUUGAAGGUGAGAUCAACCAGUCCACCAUGAGGUUUUGUGUUUAUUUUGUUGGUGUGCCCAUUGGGGUCACUGGUUCCUCCUGAGAUAGCCACGGAUCAUUCCACAUUGAGGUAGUCUUCCCAUUUCCGAUUACCUUACCAAUCUCCUGCUUCAGUAGGUCUUUUCCAAUACAUAUAUCACGCCAGCCAUGGGAGGUAUUUGAAGGUGGUUCACAUUGGAGAAAGGAUAUGGAGUGACAGUACCUUCCAAGUAAGAUUUUGGCCAACAGACAAUCUGGAGAGGCCUUUCCAAGAUAUCCAACACAUACUGUUUUUCCCAGGGGAAGAAUCCCACCAGAAUCUUGUGAGGACUGAUUGUAUUCACUUGCACAAGGAACCUGGUAGUUUGAAGCACGACAUUGUAGUAGGUCAGUAUUGCUGAGAGUACAGAUUUCAGCAUAAUCAUUUUUCCUGCAGUGGAAAGGAAUCUGGAGGACCAGCUCUUAGCUCUCUGUCUGAUUUUGUCGACAAUACUAAUAAAAAGAUCCUUCUUUUUUCUUCCAAAGAUCUCCGGUAGACCUAAAUAAUUACCAAGUCCUCCUUCAUUGAUGCUUCUUCAUAUUUCUGGAGGAUUUUGAGAAGAUUGGUGCAUUCUCUUUGAUCAGUUCUACAAAAGAACAUUUUGUCAUCCGCAAAGAAGACCAGAUAGCACUUCACUGCAGAGAAUGAAGACAAACGGGGAUAGAGGGUCCCCUUGCUUGAUUCCUCUUUGGGGAUGUACUCUCCCCUGAGCCGCACCAUUUAAGAGGUAGUGUAAAGGUUCGUGAGUGAUUAGGACAUUGUCUGCGAUGACUCGCUGGGGGACAAAAGCCGAUUGAUUCUCAGAGAUAAUAUUCUGUAGUAAUGGUUUCAUUCUCCUUGUCAGUAUCUUUGAAAUGAUCUUGAAGCACUCCCGUCGAGAAGAAGCUUUGGAUCUCAGUUAUGAUUUGUUUGCCUACUGUUUUCCAAGCACUUUUGAUCUCCAUUGGUGAAGUGAACAGGUGAUGGUAAUACUCAGUUAUGACCUUGAGUAUACCAUUUUCUUCGUAGAAAGCUUCUCCCAGAUCAUUCUCGAUGACAAAGAAUUUGUUGAUGGUUGUACGGUUCUUCGUAAUUGCGUGGAAGAAGCCCGUGUUCUUAUCUCCCAUUGAGAGCCAUAAUUGUCUACUUUUUUGCUUCCAUAAUUCCUCUUCCUGUUUGUACGCUUGUUGGAGUUUCUCAGAGAUAAGUGCUAUUGCCUCUGGUACUGUAUUUGAGCAGGUCAUCGUUGUUUCCAGCUCAACUUUGCACUCGUUGAUUCUCUUUUGGCUGUUUUGGUGCUUUUAUCGACUCCAUUUGAUGAUGGAAUCUCGGCAUCUACUCAAUUUUAGUUCUACCUUUUCAUUGACCGUCAAAAUAGGUGAUUAGCGGCCUGUGGUCUGAGGCUUCAAAGGAGAGAUAUUCACAUCGACCUGAGGGGACAGGAAAUUACCAGAGUGCCUCAGAUCAUAAAGGUCACAACUUAACAUAAAAGUGCGGAGAUCGAUGAAGGAGCCUUCUGGUCGUUCAUGACCCCCAAGUUCUCAGAUGAGUCUAUUAUCUCAUUAAAGUCACCUGUUAAGAUCCACGGCUCACUUCUGUUGUGUCCAGCGUUUGAAAGUUGAGUCCAGAUUUCUUUUCUUUUGGUCUUAUCAGGUUCACCAUACACAAAUGUGGCAAAAAAGAAACGACAUUCUGCUUCAAUCAGUGUGUCAAUGAAGUUUGGACUUUCAGAUAUGACUUGGAGGUUGAUGUCGGAGGUCCAUAACAGAGCUAACCCUCCUCUUCCAGGAACAUUAUGGAUGGAGAUACUGACUUGUGAAUCUCCUUCAGGCGCCGGACUGUCAUGGGGUUACCAAGACCACAACAGUUCCAGCUAGCAAUUUUUAAGGAAGAGGAUGGGGUGGAUUUUGAAAAUCCACCUUUUUCUUUUCCAUUGGAGGAAUGAUCUUCACUUGGGGUGCUUGUGGUCCUGAAGACUGUCUCGCGAGUUCCAAUGGAUUUUUCCCAAGAGGUGGUCGUCCUCUCCUUUUUUUGAGAGCCGUAAGGGAUUGAGCUUGUGCAGUAAAGCUCUCGGUUUGAUUCUCAUGAACGUCUUGGUGGGUAGAGUUAGUGACCUCCUUGGAGAGCAAGGGGUUUUGGCUGUUGGGGUUCGUCGAGGUCGUCGCAACAAGGAUCUGGGCUGCUGUCUCCUCCAUUAGGCCUCUGCUCUCCCCCUGGAUUACUCUCUGUUUCCUGGCCAAACUUUCAGUGGGAUCAGAGCAGGUGACAUAUUGAACCGUAACUUCUCGGAGUUCACCCAUUAUUUCUUCAGUGGUAGGGGGAGGGUCAACCGUUCUGGGUAAAUCAACAAGGUUAUCAGUGAUAGUUUGUCUCUCCAAUGGUGGGCGUCUUGGUCUAGACGUUUCAGAGCUUUCCUCCCAGGGAAGCGGCGAGGAGGGGAUCUUCUGUAACUAAGAGAGUGGUGAUCACGGGAACUGGCUCAUGAUCUGGGGUUCUGUCUUUGGUCAGUCUCUCUUGGUUGUUCUCUGGAGGAUGCUUGUUUCUCCAGGCCAUUUCGUUCAACUGAGGUCCUGGAGGUUCUAUAGUUUGAAUUCUCUCCUCCUGAUAGUCGACUGUGGAGGGGGGGGAGGUCUAUGGAACCGGGUAGCAACCGAGGGUAAGAGAGUACUAGACUGAGUGGGAGGCCUGAAAUUGUCUCUUGGCAGGUAGUAAUUAGCCUGGACCGGUUGGGGGAUUGAGCUGGAUGUGUUGUUCUCUGGGGUAUUCUUUACAGGGGUUUCUUUGCGUAAGCCGGGGCAAUCUCUCACUUCGUGAGUGAGUCGAAGACAGUAGGAGCAGUGUUUCUUGAGUCCCUUAUAUUCAAGAGAGACUAGAGCUUCUCCUCCUCCAGAGAAUUCCACCACUGUUUCCUUGCAUUGCAGGUUGCCAGUAGUGCUUGGAGAGUCCUUGAACUUCGAUCCAGAAUGGAAUCAUAGAGGGGAAAGAUUCGGAGAUUAUCGGCUCCCACUUUUGGAGGAUAACCAUCUAUUGGUCAAAGUGGUAUGGUCUGUUGUCCAAGACUUUCCGAAAAUCUUCCUCAAAGUCAAAGGUGAACUGAAAACAUCCUCGACCUAGGUCAGCUCCAGUAGCUUUCCCGCGGAGGUUCCAUCUGUUUGCCAGAAAGGGGAAUAGUGACCAGAGUCGUUGGGCUGGCGGAUUCGUGAGACGUCCAAUAAGGGUUAGGUUGUUCGCUUUUAUGAUUUCGGAAGUGUCUAGCUCAGGAGCCCGGAUUCGUUUACGGGGGG
Molecule: non-coding RNA, 4248 nt
Organism: Camelina sativa (false flax)
Lineage: Eukaryota; Viridiplantae; Streptophyta; Magnoliopsida; Brassicales; Brassicaceae
Source: RefSeq, a predicted model, not a curated record